Molecule: ribosomal RNA, 465 nt
Filed under: uncultured bacterium
Lineage: Bacteria
Description: partial 16S ribosomal RNA
Rfam family: Bacterial small subunit ribosomal RNA
Source: RNAcentral
GACGAACGCUGGCGGCGUGCUUAACACAUGCAAGUCGAACGGAAAGGCCCCUUUGGGGGUACUCGAGUGGCGAACGGGUGAGUAACACGUGAGUAACCUGCCCUUGACUUCGGGAUAACUUCAGGAAACUGGGGCUAAUACCGGAUAGGAAUCCUUGCUGCAUGGUGGGGGUUGGAAAGCUUCGGCGGUUUUGGAUGGACUCGCGGCUUAUCAGCUUGUUGGUGGGGUAGUGGCUUACCAAGGCUUUGACGGGUAGCCGGCCUGAGAGGGCGACCGGCCACAUUGGGACUGAGAUACGGCCCAGACUCCUACGGGAGGCAGCAGUGGGGAAUAUUGCACAAUGGGCGGAAGCCUGAUGCAGCAACGCCGCGGGCGGGAUGACGGCCUUCGGGUUGUAAACCGCUUUCAGCAGGGGCGAAGCUUGUGGUGACGGUACCUGCAGAAGAAGCUCCGGCUAACUACGUG